Molecule: non-coding RNA, 111 nt
Filed under: Alkalihalobacillus pseudalcaliphilus
Lineage: Bacteria; Bacillati; Bacillota; Bacilli; Caryophanales; Bacillaceae
Description: Bacillus pseudalcaliphilus SAM-I sequence
Rfam family: SAM riboswitch aptamer (S box leader)
About the family: The SAM riboswitch is found upstream of a number of genes which code for proteins involved in methionine or cysteine biosynthesis in Gram-positive bacteria. The SAM riboswitch acts at the level of transcription termination control.
Source: RNAcentral
CUCUUAUGUUGAGUGGUGGAGGGACUGGCCUGAUGAAACCCAGCAACCGUUUUCGUUUAGAAAAUUGGUGCUAAUUCCUGCGAAUCUAGAAGUAGAUUCGAGAGAUAAGAG